Molecule: long non-coding RNA, 565 nt
Organism: Musa acuminata AAA Group (dessert banana)
Lineage: Eukaryota; Viridiplantae; Streptophyta; Magnoliopsida; Zingiberales; Musaceae
Exons: 3
Source: RefSeq, a predicted model, not a curated record
CGCUCACCACUUAUCAGUCAGAGUAUUGCUUAUGAUGUGCAGAUGGACCUCGAAGACACUUAUACGAUCCUAUUUUAUGGAGCUGGUACUCUUGUCACAUUGUUGAUUCUAUCAGCUAUUAUUUCCUCCAUUGAUUCCGUCCCUUUGUUUUCCAAAGUGAUGGAAGUUUUUGGCCUUGGGUUCACAGUCUGGUUCAGCUUUCGGUAUCUGAUCUAUAAGGAAAAUAGGGAUGAGUUAGUCUCAAAGCUUGAUGAUCUCAAGCAGAAGAUAGUAGGGCCGAGUGAUAACUGAGUACUUGGGGUAGUCGACGCCGAAUGCAAGAUCAGCAUAGUGUGGAGUCAGGUAUACCUAAAUAGUUUAGUGACAUGUUUUGCAGUGGUUUACCGAAGUGGAUAUAUCCAUAUUUCUCUCUCUUCGUGAUGAGCCUUUAAACUCUGAAUGUGGCAAUGGUGGCGUGAAUCAGACGGUCUGUAAUAUCCAAUUUGGAGAUGUUUGACCGGAAACUAUUUGGCAACCAGUUGACUAGAAUUUGUUACUAUAAUAUCUCAUGCUGUGAUUGAGUGUU